This 76-nucleotide transfer RNA is filed under the name Bacillus cereus. Its description in RNAcentral is "tRNA-Ile". It matches the Rfam family "tRNA". Rfam says of the family: Transfer RNA (tRNA) molecules are approximately 80 nucleotides in length. Their secondary structure includes four short double-helical elements and three loops (D, anti-codon, and T loops). Further hydrogen bonds mediate the characteristic L-shaped molecular structure. tRNAs have two regions of fundamental functional importance: the anti-codon, which is responsible for specific mRNA codon recognition, and the 3' end, to which the tRNAs corresponding amino acid is attached (by aminoacyl-tRNA synthetases). tRNAs cope with the degeneracy of the genetic code in two manners: having more than one tRNA (with a specific anti-codon) for a particular amino acid; and 'wobble' base-pairing, i.e. permitting non-standard base-pairing at the 3rd anti-codon position. Lineage: Bacteria; Bacillati; Bacillota; Bacilli; Caryophanales; Bacillaceae. The record is from RNAcentral.
GGUCUUAUAGCUCAGUUGGUUAGAGCGCACCCCUGAUAAGGGUAGGUCAUAGGUUCGAAUCCUAUUAGGACCACUA